This is a non-coding RNA of Rattus norvegicus (Norway rat), 4467 nucleotides long. The record is from RefSeq and is a predicted model, not a curated record. Lineage: Eukaryota; Metazoa; Chordata; Mammalia; Rodentia; Muridae.
UUUUGAUUCCAUCUCCACUGAGGCUGCUAACUGGAUCCACAUCCUGAAAACAAGGUACAGAGACCAUCUAAAGCUGUUCUCACAAUACAAGUGGCUAAGGAUUCAACUUGGGAGCCCAGCCCAGAAACAGACAGACAGAGGCCCAGAACAUCUGGAGGACAGACAGUCUUUACAGGCUGUGGCUGUGGUCUGGGUGCACUUGAGUAUGUUUCCCUCUCUCAUCAAAGGGGCUUCCUGCAGACCUGGGCUGAGUACUGUGUCCUGGAUACGACAGGCUCACAGAAUGGGGGUUGGAGGAAGGUUGGAAAAGCCGGUAAGCCAAACAGGUCAGAAGAGAUGCUUGGGGAGGGGGAAGGCGGGUGCAGACUGUCCACAGGCAUUCCCGGAGCUAGCUAAGGAGGUGGUUGGAGGGAUGGGUUCUCCAGAAGAGCUUUGUAAAACGAGGGCUCCGCUUUGGGUGAUGCUCAAUGGUUCUCAGCCUCCCAAAUGCUGUGACCCUUUAAUACAGUUCUUCAUGUUGUGGUGACCCCCAACCAUAAAAUUAUCUUUGUGGCUACUCCAUGACUGUAAUUUUGUUACUAUAGGAAUCGUAAUGUAAAUAUCUGUGUUUUCCAAUGGGCUUGGGCGACCCAUGAGAAAGGGUUGUUAGACACCCCCUUGAGGGGUCACGACCCACAGGUUAAGAACCGCUGCUCUCCAGCGUUGUUCCUUGAGCAGUAUCCAAGGACCAAUCAGCUGGUGCCAGCUGCACUGUAAACCACUCCCAGUAGUGAGGGCUCUAAAGGACACCCCUCCACCACUACCCACACCUACUCACCAGAAAGCAAAACUAGCCGGCUUGAGUCACAUGUUCUGGUCACAAGAAAGUCCUACCAGAAGAGGCUCUGGGCAAAGGAGGCCUUCUCUGCCCUUCCUUUCUUCUGCUUGAAUCCUUAGCGGACAGCAGGAACUGACUCGGUAGAGGGAGGUCACAAGUGAGUCCAGGCCCAGGACAGAGCAUGGCCUUCCCUCUGCACCCUUCCUUGACAACCACCAGCUGCUGCUACCUGCUGGACUGGGAUGAAAGUGAUCACCCACCAUGUGUCUGGAGGGGGCGGCCAGAGCUGGGAUUCAGAGGGAUACACGCUGUGACAUUGAGACAAACAAGCUGCCGGUCAUAGAUUAGGUCCAUGAGUCCUGCUUCUGAAAAACCCCAACAACCUAGAACACAGCGGAACUGGAACAGGUGGAGUGUGCCUUCCUUAUCCUCAGGACGGAGGAGGCUGAUGAGCGCCCCCUGCUGGCUGAAGGGAGCAGCUCCCAGGCCUGGGCUGUCCCAUUGGAGCCCAGCUGCUUCAGCUUUACCAGGUAACAUGAGGAUAAGCAGCAGAGCCCGCCCCCAAGCGGGGGUGGAACUGAAUGUGACAUGAGGAGCCAAACAAGGACUUGAAGCUAACUGGGAUGUUCUGACAUUCUGAACUCGGAGGUGGGGAGAACGGAAUGAUUGACAGCUUCGUCACAGAGCUUCGAGCAGAGAUGAAGCAGGACACUCAGAGGCUGGGUGCUGCUGAACGGAGAAGGCUCAAAACGGGACAGCCCACGAACAAUGUGCUCAGAUGAGAACCCAGGGUAUUCUGAGUCCCUCUGAUACAGUGACUUGAGGGUCACUGUAAGCAGUGUCAGCCACUCUGUCCUGGGGUGUUUAGAGGUGGCCUCUCUCCCUGCCUUCCCUUCUAACCCCAGCAGGGAGUGUGAGUCGGAAGAUGGUUCACCUAUGGUAGUGAAGCAAGCCUUAGGCUCAAGCACCAAUCUUGAUAGAAUAGCCGGCUGGCUUCAUGAAAGCCGGUAGUCCCUGGCCUCUGUGUAGGUGGCACAGUGAGCGCCCAUCUCCAGUCCUUGCAUUUUGACUCACUGCUUCCUCAUAGCCACUGUCAGUCUCAUCUUAUAGAUGGGGGAAUAAGGUUCAGAGAGGGUAAAUAACUUUUCCAAGGCCAGCCAGCGGGAAAGCUACAACACUGGACUGCUGGUUGGCAUCCUUGUCUGGGAGACUCCACGCCCGCACUUCUCUCUGACCGCUCACUUUCAACUGAAUCAAGACCUACGCCAAAGUAUCCGACGGGCCUGCAGGGGGCAGUGGAGCCAGCUAGCAUUUGAGAGUUGACAGUUUUUAGGCUUAGCCACGAUCCUGGAAAAUGUUGAAGAACAUUGGGUGUUUCCCAAUCAUCUUCUGAAAAAGUACCCAAAAUCCCAAGCAAAUAAACAAACCACAAAGACAUGCCAAUGGGUGGUUACAGUUAGGCUGCCUGGAUUCUGGGUUUUAUCUAACCCUCUCAAAAUCUACCUUCCCUAAGGCAAGCAAGCCCUCCUGGAAGACAAGGGCCACCUCUGACAUCUUCCUCUCCAGGUUUGAGUCUUGGCAUAUAGUAAGUGAACCCAGUAACACAUGAAAGUGUUUUGGAGAGGACUAAGGGCUUUUCCACAGUUGGGCAAAUCUCCUAAUAGGUCCUACUUUCCCACCCAAAAGGGGCCAGACCCAAGCCCAGACAGACAUGGAAGGAAUAUUGUGGCAGCUGUCGGCUGUUUGGAGGCCUUGGAUCUUGGUACUGGCUCUGGCUGUGACUGUCAUUGGUGAGGAGGGUUCAAAUGGCUUGUGGUUUGGAUGUGACAUGUUCCCUCCCCGGCUCAUAUGAAAUAACUUGGUCCUCAGCUGUUGGCAUUAAUAGGGAUGAUUGGCAUAUAGGGCCACUAAUUUUAUCAAUGGGUUAGCUCUCUAGUGAGUUCCAACCUGAGUGGGCUACUCAGAGGAAGGGCCUAGAUGGAGGAAGUGGGUCACUGUGGGGUAUGCCUCCAAACUGUAGAACUUGUUCCUGGUUUCUGUGUCGUCUCUGUUUCUGUCUCUGUCUCUGUGUCUCUGUCUCUGUCUCCUGUCUGUGUCUGUCUCCUCUCUCUCUGUGUCUCUCUCUGUCUCCUCUCUCUGUCUCUGUCUCUCUCUCUGUCUCCUUUCUCUCUGUCUCCUCUCUCUGUCUCUGUCUCACUCUGUCUCUCUCUGUCUCCUCUCUCUAUCUUCUCUCUCUGUCUCUGCCAUGCUUUGUCUCCUCUCUCUGUCUUCUUUCUCGGUCUCUGUCUUCUCUCUCUGUCUUUCUCUAUCUCUGUCUUCUCUCUGUCUGUCUCCUCUCUCUCUUUCCCUCUCUCUCUGUCUUUGUCUUUCUCUGUCUCCUGUUUCUGUCUCUCUUCUCCCCUCUCUCCUCUCUUCCUCCUUUACUGCCAAGGCAAGCAGACCCUAGGUUUAAUCCUCAAUACUGCACUCCACUAUAUCCCUAAAAAGGGAAACUAAAAAUCAACAGUCAAUAAACCAUGGGAACUGAGCCACACAUGAUAACUCGUUCUUAUGCUUAUAUAGUACUUGUGCUCAGGUUAUUUAUCUCAGUAAUGAAACAGUAACACAGAGGGAGAACUUUUAGGUGUCUGCCCAGGAGCUUUUCUGUCUGAGGUAGGGGUUCUGAAAAAGGAGAAAAAUUUGAGGCAAGCCUUCCUCCUUAUUCAACCACAAGGUCCUGGGCCAGCCUCCAUCCGACACAGCCAGGACUGGAGCCAAACAAUGCCCAGACCUGUGCUGAGCUCCGAUUGGCCUGCUCUGCUUGGAUCAGCUGGAUUGUGUGGACUGUGGUCUCCUCACCUGUGGUGGGGCCUUAAGAAACCCCAGGAUUGCCUUAGGAGUUGGGGACACCUUCCGAGUCAGUGAGACAAAGCUUUGAAGCUGGCUCCACUCUCUACUGUAGCCUCCCUCGUCCAGCUGCAGCACAGUCCCUGAGCCUCAUUUUAUUUACUGUGAGAAAGGCAUGGAGAUGUCCGAUCCAUAUCCUAGAGUCCCAGAAUGAUGGCAGCCCAUGUGAACCAGGAAAAGCUCUCAGAGAACUGUACCUGCUGCUCUGGUGACUGCCACCAUCACCCUUGUCAUGACGGAAUACCAAGAGCAUGGUCUUGAGAACACGGUGGUUAAUGAACUUGUCUCUCUGAUGGAUGCUUUUGGUGUCUAUGGCCAGGUACUUAUAAUAGGGCCCUGGCUGGAGGACACCAUAGAAAAUAAGUGUGGCCCAAAGGAAGAAGACCUGAUCUCCAUCCUUGCAAAGGAUUUGAUCCACUCACCUCUCCAGUGGUGGGUCAGCUUGACACAGUUUAGAAUCGCCUGUGAAGAGAGCUAAUGAAGAAUUGUCUGAAUUGGGUUGGCCUGUGGGCAUGUCUGUAGGAGAUUGUCUUGAUUACAUUAAUUGAUGUGGGAAGACCCAGCCCACUGUGGGAGGCACCAUCCCCUAGGCUUGGGUCCAGGACUGUGUAAGAGUGGAGACAGUGAGCUGACUGCAAAUGUACAUUCAUUCUCUCUCUGCUCUUGAUUGUGGAUGUGGCUAGCUGCCUCAAGGUCCUGCAACCUAGACUUUCCUGUAACAAAGGGCUAUGGAAUUAUGAGCCAAAUAAACCGUUUUCUUCCUA